CACCUUUUUCAUCUCGUAUCUGAGUCAUGGCCAACAGUGUUGCAAACAGGAACCCGAGGUGUUCACUUCACUGUUGAAGGAACAAGAGGGCAUCUGCUGAAGUUUCAGAUUCCAUUUCUGCUCAGUAUCCAGUAGUGGAUCAUGAAUUUGAUGCAGUGGUGGUAGGCGCUGGAGGGGCAGGCUUGCGAGCUGCAUUUGGCCUUUCCGAGGCAGGGUUGAAUACAGCAUGUGUUACCAAGCUGUUUCCUACCAGGUCACACACUGUUGCAGCACAGGUAAGAGAAAGAUGCCCCACUGUGCUCCCACUCCGUGCAGGUCCCGCGCAGCCUCGCACUUUCUACCUGGGCAGCCUCCUGCCUCC
Molecule: long non-coding RNA, 361 nt
Filed under: Pan troglodytes (chimpanzee)
Lineage: Eukaryota; Metazoa; Chordata; Mammalia; Primates; Hominidae
Description: long non-coding RNA NONPTRT012285
Source: RNAcentral